CCUACGGGUGGCAGCAGUGGGGGAUAUUGCACAAUGGGGGAAACCCUGAUGCAGCGACGCCGCGUGGGCGAAGAAGUAUUUCGGUAUGUAAAGCCCUAUCAGCAGGGAAGAAGAAAUGACGGUACCUGAGUAAGAAGCAUCGGCUAACUCCGUGCCAGCAGCCGCGGUAAUACGGAGGAUGCGAGCGUUAUCCGGAUUUAUUGGGUUUAAAGGGUGCGUAGGCGGACAGUCAAGUCAGCGGUAAAAAUGCGGUGCUCAACGCCGUACAGCCGUUGAAACUGGCAGUCUUGAGUGGGCGAGAAGUAUGCGGAAUGCGUGGUGUAGCGGUGAAAUGCAUAGAUAUCACGCAGAACUCCGAUUGCGAAGGCAGCAUACCGGCGCCCUACUGACGCUGAGGCACGAAAGCGUGGGUAUCGAACAGGAUUAGAUACCCUAGUAGUC
RNAcentral lists this ribosomal RNA (441 nucleotides) under uncultured bacterium. Its description in RNAcentral is "partial 16S ribosomal RNA". It matches the Rfam family "Bacterial small subunit ribosomal RNA", at positions 338 to 795 of the family's 1533-position model. The record is from RNAcentral.